This is a long non-coding RNA of Lactuca sativa (garden lettuce), 697 nucleotides long. RefSeq lists it as uncharacterized. The record is from RefSeq and is a predicted model, not a curated record. Lineage: Eukaryota; Viridiplantae; Streptophyta; Magnoliopsida; Asterales; Asteraceae.
UGGACACCUACCAUUGAAAGUAGCCGACACAGAGAACACGGAUGAAUGGCAAAUAAUGCGAUAGUGGUGAAUCGGAGUUACGUCGUCGGCGCUUGGCUCGACCGGGGAAGAGAGGAGAGCGAAGGCUCGCAUCGGGUAAUCUGGAAGCCUUAACUAAUCGCGAAGAGGGAGAAGAGACGAAGGCAGGGCUUUCUCUUUCUCGUCCGGAGAUUUCAGACCCAUCGCACCCGAGUUGCGAGCUCCGGUGGUCGACUAGACCGAAGAAGAACAUGGGCAGAAGCAGCGACGCUGCUGUGGGGUUGGCGAAAGGGAGUGAGAAGCGAGGGUAAAGGAGGUCACGGUCCUUGGGCCGGUCGCGAAGGGCGUUAAUAGACGCCGAUCAAGGGAUGUUUGGGGGUUGUGCUCGACGGAAAAUGGAGAUAUGGGAGCGACGGGGUUCGAUCAGUGGGAAGAAAGGGUCGCAUUGGGACCGAAGAGAAGGAAAAGGAGAUAGGGAUUCAGUCUCGGUGGUGAUCGACGAGCAAAAGGGAGAGGGACAGCCUUCCUCCGGCUAUUGCAGGUAUACCCGGGAACAAGAACAGUUCUCGUGUUCUUGACAGAAAUUAGUGCAAAAGGAAAGAGCUAUGGGAGUGUUUGCGUGCUGUUUUCGGUUUUGAUUGUGUGUUGAUUGUUUGUGAACCAAUUUAUCAAUUUAUCA